This 275-nucleotide ribosomal RNA is filed under the name uncultured bacterium. Its description in RNAcentral is "partial 16S ribosomal RNA". It matches the Rfam family "Bacterial small subunit ribosomal RNA", at positions 399 to 691 of the family's 1533-position model. The record is from RNAcentral.
GCGUGAGUGAUGACGGCCUUAGGGUUGUAAAGCUCUUUUACCCGGGACGAUAAUGACGGUACCGGGUGAAUAAGCCCCGGCUAACUUCGUGCCAGCAGCCGCGGUAAUACGAAGGGGGCUAGCGUUGCUCGGAAUCACUGGGCGUAAAGGGCGCGUAGGCGGCUUGCCAAGUCGGGGGUGAAAGCCCGUGGCUCAACCACGGAAUGGCCUUCGAUACUGGCAGGCUUGAGACCGGAAGAGGACAGCGGAACUGCGAGUGUAGAGGUGAAAUUCGU